Molecule: ribosomal RNA, 417 nt
Filed under: bacterium enrichment culture clone ALO1_GLFRUDD03GQ14P
Lineage: Bacteria
Description: bacterial SSU rRNA
Rfam family: Bacterial small subunit ribosomal RNA
Source: RNAcentral
GAGUUUGACGUGGCUCAGAUUGAACGCUGGCGGCAUGCCUUACACAUGCAAGUCGAACGGCAGCACGGGAGCUUGCUCCUGGUGGCGAGUGGCGAACGGGUGAGUAAUGCAUCGGAACGUAUCCUGGAGUGGGGGAUAACGUAGCGAAAGUUACGCUAAUACCGCAUAUUCUGUGAGCAGGAAAGCGGGGGACCUUCGGGCCUCGCGCUCCUGGAGCGGCCGAUGUCGGAUUAGCUAGUUGGUGAGGUAAAGGCUCACCAAGGCGACGAUCCGUAGCAGGUCUGAGAGGAUGAUCUGCCACACUGGAACUGAGACACGGUCCAGACUCCUACGGGAGGCAGCAGUGGGGAAUUUUGGACAAUGGGGGCAACCCUGAUCCAGCCAUGCCGCGUGAGUGAAGAAGGCCUCGGUUGUAAG